This 484-nucleotide ribosomal RNA is filed under the name uncultured bacterium. Its description in RNAcentral is "partial 16S ribosomal RNA". It matches the Rfam family "Bacterial small subunit ribosomal RNA", at positions 29 to 507 of the family's 1533-position model. The record is from RNAcentral.
AUUGAACGCUGGCGGCAUGCUUUACACAUGCAAGUCGAACGGCAGCGCGGGCUUCGGCCUGGCGGCGAGUGGCGAACGGGUGAGUAAUACAUCGGAACGUGCCCAGUAGUGGGGGAUAGCUCGGCGAAAGCCGGAUUAAUACCGCAUACGACCUGAGGGUGAAAGCGGGGGAUCUUCGGACCUCGCGCUAUUGUAGCGGCCGAUGGCAGAUUAGCUAGUUGGUGGGGUAAAGGCCUACCAAGGCGACGAUGUGUAGCUGGUCUGAGAGGACGACCAGCCAGACUGGGACUGAGACACGGCCCAGACUCCUACGGGAGGCAGCAGUGGGGAAUUUUGGACAAUGGGCGAAAGCCUGAUCCAGCAAUGCCGCGUGUGUGAUGAAGGCCUUCGGGUUGGAAAGCACUUUUGGCGGGAACGAAAAGGACUGUGCCAAUACCACGGUUCGAUGACGGUACCCGCAGAAUAAGCACCGGCUAACUACGUG